Molecule: ribosomal RNA, 253 nt
Filed under: uncultured bacterium
Lineage: Bacteria
Description: partial 16S ribosomal RNA
Rfam family: Bacterial small subunit ribosomal RNA
Source: RNAcentral
GACGAACCGUGCGAACGUUGUUCGGAAUCACUGGGCUUAAAGGGCGCGUAGGCGGCCCGCCGCGUCCGGGGUGAAAUCCUCCCGCUCAACGGGAGAACGGCCUCGGAUACGGGCGGGCUGGAGGGGGGUAGGGGCACGCGGAACUGUGGGUGGAGCGGUGAAAUGCGUUGAGAUCCACAGGAACUCCGGUGGCGAAGGCGGCGUGCUGGACCCCAUCUGACGCUGAGGCGCGAAAGCCAGGGGAGCGAACGGG